CAACCGGCCCUUUUCAGGGCCACCAAUCAAUAAAACGUUGGGAAUU
Molecule: non-coding RNA, 46 nt
Organism: Trichomalopsis sarcophagae
Lineage: Eukaryota; Metazoa; Arthropoda; Insecta; Hymenoptera; Pteromalidae
Source: Rfam